CCUACGGGGUGCAGCAGUCGAGAAUCAUUCACAAUGGGGGAAACCCUGAUGGUGCGACGCCGCGUGGGGGAAUGAAGGUCUUCGGAUUGUAAACCCCUGUCAUGUGGGAGCAAAUUAAAAAGAUAGUACCACACGAGGAAGAGACGGCUAACUCUGUGCCAGCAGCCGCGGUAAUACAGAGGUCUCAAGCGUUGUUCGGAAUCACUGGGCGUAAAGCGUGCGUAGGCUGUUUCGUAAGUCGUGUGUGAAAGGCGCGGGCUCAACCCGCGGACGGCACAUGAUACUGCGAGACUAGAGUAAUGGAGGGGGAACCGGAAGUCUCGGUGUAGUAGUGAAAUGCGUAGAUAUCGAGAGGAACACUCGUGGCGAAGGCGGGUUCCUGGACAUUAACUGACGCUGAGGCACGAAGGCCAGGGGAGCGAAAGGGAUUAGAUACCCCAGUAGUC
Molecule: ribosomal RNA, 446 nt
Filed under: uncultured bacterium
Lineage: Bacteria
Description: partial 16S ribosomal RNA
Rfam family: Bacterial small subunit ribosomal RNA
Source: RNAcentral